UCCUUCAGCAUUUCUCUGUGGCUCCAGCCUUAAGUGGAGUCCUGAGAUGAAGAAUGCCCGCUGUGUACAAAAAGAAAAUCCGUUAACACAGGCAGUGCCUAAAUGUCAGCGCUGGGAGAAACUGCAGAAUUCAAGAUGUGUUUGUAAAAUGCCCUACGAAUGUGGACCUUCCUUGGAUGUAUGUGCUCGAGAUGAGAGAAGCAAAAGGAUACUGCCUCUGACAGUUUGCAAGAUGCAUGUUCUCCACUGUCAGGGUAGAAAUUACACCCUUACUGGUAGGGACAGCUGUACUCUGCCUGCCUCAGCUGAGAAAGCUUGUGGUGCCUGCCCACUGUGGGGAAAAUGUGAUGGUAAGGGGCCUUUCAUAUUUGUAAGUAUAAGAAUGCUAAAGUCACAGUACUGAGGAUUUAAAAAAUGUGGUUUCUAGUUUAGCAGUGGGCCGAAGAAGAUACUUGAGGAUGUUGAAGACUCAGACUGAUUUGACAUGCACUGACCUCUCCUAUACCCCUCACUGGAGAAGGGCACAGAUCACAGACCUCAGAGGAUAAGAUUCCCACAUUCCUGAUGUGGAAAUGUUCUCCCAAACAGGGGUGAUUCCAUGCCACCUUCAUGAUUUUUACUCUGUCCUUGUAUUAUCCAUAUUGUGUACUCAUUUUUAAAAAGUCUGACAUAAAAAUAACUUUAAAAUGAAAACUUUAUAUCAUGUCCUUAAAAGGAGGUAUCACUUGCCAUAAAUACUAGGUAACUAUAAAAGUUAUAUGUAAUGGAACUAAAUAAAGUUGUGGACUCUA
RNAcentral lists this small RNA (791 nucleotides) under Pan troglodytes (chimpanzee). RNAcentral describes it as "processed transcript". The record is from RNAcentral. Lineage: Eukaryota; Metazoa; Chordata; Mammalia; Primates; Hominidae.